Molecule: long non-coding RNA, 2291 nt
Filed under: Nicotiana tabacum (common tobacco)
Lineage: Eukaryota; Viridiplantae; Streptophyta; Magnoliopsida; Solanales; Solanaceae
Description: long non-coding RNA (NTAB_LNC003597)
Source: RNAcentral
GAUGAUGCAGACCUCCUGGGGAUGUAUUUGAUCUCCAGCUUCUUGAACUAUUUGAUAGUCGAGAAGUAUCCGGUCAUAUUUUGAUCUCUUUGUGCAUAUCUCGAGAGUUUAUGGGAUUUUUGAGACCCCUAAUAGACUCCUGGGAUUUCAAGAGUCUUGUAGUAUCUUAAAAUUAGGAUUUAGCUUGAUCCGUUAAAAUUUAGAUGUGUACAAAUUCCCCAUACUUCAAGGUUUGUCGGGAUGUAGGCUUGCCGAAACUUGAAGACGAAACUUGAAGUACUCGACCAUCGCAACAAAUGAUUUUGAAACUUGGAGUUUUCAAUUUACAGGAGGAAGAGAUGAAGGGCAGAACUGGUCUCACUAGGCAUGCCAAUUUGUUUGCAAUAAAUUUUCAAGAUAUGAAAAAUAAACUACAAUCACAAAAUAGGAGAAAAAUACAAUUCUGUUUCUCCCUUGAUUCUUCUCUCCUGAUUAUCUCCGUGAUUCCAGGGCUGAAGCAGCGUAUUUCUCGAAUGUAGGAUGAUGUAGACCUCCUGGGGAUGUAUUUGAUCUCCAGCUUCUUGAACUAUUUGAUUGUCAAGAAGUAUCCGGUCAUAUUUUGAUCUCUUUGUGAAUAUCCCAAGAGUUUAUGGGAUUUUUGAAACCCCUCUUCAAGGGAAUAUGUAUCCCUUAAUAUAGGUAUGCGUUAGGGUUUAGGAUAGAGUAAUCUCCAAGAAACCCUAAUAGACUCCUAGACAGAACAUAUAUUUCAUGAAGAGAAUUCUGGAAUUGAACCUAUAAGCAUAAUCUCUAGGCGAUGGAAGGUCUCAUACAAGGUAACUUCAAUUCUAUAGACCUGAUCUCCACACUUUUGGCUAUAUUUAAAAGAUUUUGAUUGAUAAGAAUGUUAACAGCAUGUUUCUUCCAUUUGAUGCAUCAAAAUUAAAGCGAGUGAACAUUGAUAAGUUCUAACAUACUUCAAUGAUCAGUGAAUCAUAUUUUAUUACAUAGUUCACAGAAUCAGAUCCUUAACAUGGAACCUCUUACUCCUAAUUAGUUUUUAAAAAUAAUAGCAUUUUAUGAAUGUGCUUCCUAGAGUGGAGAAUAGCGGGAAGCAGACACUAGACACACCGGGAGAAAGGUCUUGUUACAUGGUUUGAUAACAAUUUUUCUUCUUCUGUGAAUAGGAAAUUCUUAACCGUACACUCUAAUCAAUCAAAUUUCUUUUAUUUUAUUAGAGUCCUGAUGUACAGAUUUUACUAUUCCUAAAGUCUUGACAGAGGAUUACAUGCACUCAAUAGAGAGAGUUCUAAGAAAUCACAGCAGUUUCCAAGUUGUUCUAUUGCUUAGAAGCAUGAAUUCUCAGAGGUGAAACAAGAUAUCACAUUUGACAUGGUGAAUUCCUAUAGUCAUCGUAACCAAGUAUUGAAAGGAUGUCUCUUUAAUAAAUAACAUGAUCAUUUAAUCUAGACAUAUAGUAGCUAAUUACUCUUCCAGUCAUCAUGCUUUCUACGACAUUCGAACUAGGAAACAGUAACUUACAGUCAUAUUUUAAACAAGAAAAGAAUACAUGAACAAUGGUAUUCAAAGCAAAGACCUAACAUCAGUAAACUAAUUUAUUCACAUAGGCAAGCAAUUGACUUCUUAUUUUCUUCAAGCUUUAUGCAAACAUACCACAUAACUUCACAACUUUUACGCAUACAAAAUUUCUUAAUCAUGAUUUUUAUGGAAAUAAACUAUGACUCGCGUUUUCGAACAAAUAGACGAACACUUCAGAUCUUCAAAGAAAAACGAGAAUAAAGAUUUCAGAGUUACUGACCUUUUGUGGUGCAGGAACUGGGGUCGCGUCAAGGUCUGCUAUCUCCGGCCUCUACUCCGCAACCUCGAAUGACUGUCAAACUCCAAGACGAGCACAACGAUGCCUCUGUUAUGGUUAAAACCAAUAGAGGCUGAACGAAAACGAACUCUUAGAGUGCGGUUCUAAUGAAUAAAAAUAAGAGAAGAAUGGCGAGGAAAAGAGUAUAAAAGCAGCGGGUCCAAAGGUGCUGAAAAUAGCCACAAGGUCUGGUAUUUAUAGGUGUAAAAUUAGGGUUCUGGGUUCCUUUGAGAGGGAAUUUGAAAUUCAGAUUUCGAAAGAAGUCAAAUGGAUCCGUUUAAAUUUUAACGGAGAAGCUUUUUGGAUGGAUUCGAUCUUCACGUGAUUCUUCAGUGAUAUGCUACAGGUUACACCCGAAAUGGUGAGAUAUGCUCUGUCACGUAGGGAUUUGAAGGUCAAAGCUUGGCUAAAAAUGGAGGAAAGUGCCAAGAGAAAG